GCUGGAUAGCUCCAUUGGUUAGAGUGUGAUGCUGAUAACGCCAAGGUUGCUGGUUCGAUCCCUGAAUGGGGCAGCU
Molecule: transfer RNA, 76 nt
Filed under: Podarcis lilfordi (Lilford's wall lizard)
Lineage: Eukaryota; Metazoa; Chordata; Lepidosauria; Squamata; Lacertidae
Description: tRNA.Ile
Source: RNAcentral